Molecule: ribosomal RNA, 766 nt
Filed under: Euplotes woodruffi
Lineage: Eukaryota; Ciliophora; Spirotrichea; Euplotida; Euplotidae
Description: SSU rRNA
Rfam family: Eukaryotic small subunit ribosomal RNA
Source: RNAcentral
AGAAGCAGGCGCGAAAAUUAUCCAAUCCUGACUCAGGGAGGUAGUGAAAGAAAUAAUGAACUAGGAUUUAUCCUGGGAUCACAAUGGGCUUGAUUUGCAAACACUUAGCGAGGAACAAUUGGAGGGCAAGUCUGGUGCCAGCAGCCGCGGUAAUUCCAGCUCCAAUAGAGUAUAUAAACGUUCCUGCAGUUAUUCGAUGCUCGUAGUUGGAUUUCUGAGGUUGAGACGGGAGGGUGGCUAUGGCCAUCGCCCGACUCUUUCCUCAUCCACCUGUUUGCGAAUCCCGGGAUUGAUUUCUCGGUUUCGGGCGCAGGAUCUUACCAUUUCAUAUUGCGUAGUCUUCAUCGAUUAUGUUGUUUCUUUGAGCAAAUUAUAGUGUUUCAGGCAGGCGUGCGCCGGAAUACGUUAGCAUGGUAUAAACGAAUUGGACCGUGUGCCCGUAACUGGGCUUCUCCUUAUUGUUGGUUUGAAGGACACGGAGAUGGUUAAUAGGGACAGAAUUUAUUCAGGGGGAGGCAUUAGUAUUUAAUUUCCAGAGGUGAAAUUCUUUGAAAUAUUAAAGACUAACAUAUGCGAAAGCAUUCUUUGCCAAUGAUGUUUUCAUUAAUCAUUGAACGAAAGUUAGGGGAUCAAAGACGAUCAGAUACCGUCCUAGUCUUAACCAUAAACGUUGCCGACUAGGGAUCGGAGGGCGUGCACAUUCCGCCUUCGGCACCUUACGAGAAAUCAAAGUCUUUUGGGUUCUGUGGGUAGUAUGGUCGCAGCU